GACGAACGCUGGCGGCGUGCUUAACACAUGCAAGUCGAACGAAGAGCGAUGGAAGCUUGCUUCUAUCAAUCUUAGUGGCGAACGGGUGAGUAACGCGUAAUCAACCUGCCCUUCAGUGGGGGACAACAGUUGGAAACGACUGCUAAUACCGCAUAAUGUUAUUUGAGGGCAUCCUCGAAUAACCAAAGCUUUAUGUGCUGAAAGAUGGCUUCGCGUCUGAUUAGCUAGUUGGUGAGGUAACGGCCCACCGAGGCGACGAUCAGUAGCCGGACUGAGAGGUUGAACAGCCACAUUGGGACUGAGAUACGGCCCAG
RNAcentral lists this ribosomal RNA (314 nucleotides) under uncultured bacterium. RNAcentral describes it as "bacterial SSU rRNA". It matches the Rfam family "Bacterial small subunit ribosomal RNA", at positions 28 to 334 of the family's 1533-position model. The record is from RNAcentral.